Molecule: ribosomal RNA, 253 nt
Filed under: uncultured bacterium
Lineage: Bacteria
Description: partial 16S ribosomal RNA
Rfam family: Bacterial small subunit ribosomal RNA
Source: RNAcentral
UACGUAGGGGGCAAGCGUUGUCCGGAAUCAUUGGGCGUAAAGAGCGCGUAGGCGGCCCUGUAAGUCCGCUGUGAAAGUCAAGGGCUCAACCCUUGGAUGCCGGUGGAUACUGCAGGUCUAGAGUCCGGAAGAGGCGAGUGGAAUUCCUGGUGUAGCGGUGAAAUGCGCAGAUAUCAGGAGGAACACCGAUGGCGAAGGCAGCUCGCUGGGCCGGUACUGACGCUGAGGCGCGAAAGCGUGGGGAGCAAACAGG